UCCUGGUUGCCAUAGUCACCGCCUUCCAGCGUCCCAAAAUGGCGUCGCUGCUGGGAGAGGCAGCGUCCGAGCCUGGCGAGCAGGCCCAGGCCUGCUAGGACCGGGUCCAAGCUAGGACCUCUGCCAGUUCCUCCUCACCUGGGAGGUGGCGAGUAGCGUCUGCCCUGCUCUCCUCGCCCCUUCACCUCGUGGUCGUCGCUUUUUUCUCCGCCCGGGAAGAAAUGCAGCUGGGGCCGCCCCCGGCUCCUGAGGCACCAGCGGCCUUGGUUAGGGCCCGUCCCUGGGGAAGAGCUGGUGAGGAGCGGAGGGGCUCUUAGCAAGGCGCUGCCAAUGGGCGAGGGUCGCCUCUCACCGGGUAGAGCCGCGUGCUGCUGCUUCGACCCGCUGAGGGCUGUGAGCGCCGUGCUGCAGCCUGGGACUGUGUCGCUCACCAAAUAUAUCCUUAAAACAAACCUAAGACAGUUAACGAAAACAGUGCAGAAAGCUUUGUGUCAGUGGGA
Molecule: long non-coding RNA, 500 nt
Organism: Calypte anna (Anna's hummingbird)
Lineage: Eukaryota; Metazoa; Chordata; Aves; Apodiformes; Trochilidae
Exons: 2
Source: RefSeq, a predicted model, not a curated record